UUAAGCGACUAAGCGUACACGGUGGAUGCCCUGGCAGUCAGAGGCGAUGAAGGACGUGCUAAUCUGCGAUAAGCGUCGGUAAGGUGAUAUGAACCGUUAUAACCGGCGAUUUCCGAAUGGGGAAACCCAGUGUGUUUCGACACACUAUCAUUAACUGAAUCCAUAGGUUAAUGAGGCGAACCGGGGGAACUGAAACAUCUAAGUACCCCGAGGAAAAGAAAUCAACCGAGAUUCCCCCAGUAGCGGCGAGCGAACGGGGAGGAGCCCAGAGCCUGAAUCAGUGUGUGUGUUAGUGGAAGCGUCUGGAAAGGCGCGCGAUACAGGGUGACAGCCCCGUACACAAAAAUGCACAUGCUGUGAGCUCGAUGAGUAGGGCGGGACACGUGGUAUCCUGUCUGAAUAUGGGGGGACCAUCCUCCAAGGCUAAAUACUCCUGACUGACCGAUAGUGAACCAGUACCGUGAGGGAAGGGCGAAAAGAACCCCGGCGAGGGGAGUGAAAAAGAACCUGAAACCGUGUACGUACAAGCAGUGGGAGCACGCUUAGGCGUGUGACUGCGUACCUUUUGUAUAAUGGGUCAGCGACUUAUAUUCUGUAGCAAGGUUAACCGAAUAGGGGAGCCGAAGGGAAACCGAGUCUUAACUGGGCGUUAAGUUGCAGGGUAUAGACCCGAAACCCGGUGAUCUAGCCAUGGGCAGGUUGAAGGUUGGGUAACACUAACUGGAGGACCGAACCGACUAAUGUUGAAAAAUUAGCGGAUGACUUGUGGCUGGGGGUGAAAGGCCAAUCAAACCGGGAGAUAGCUGGUUCUCCCCGAAAGCUAUUUAGGUAGCGCCUCGUGAAUUCAUCUCCGGGGGUAGAGCACUGUUUCGGCAAGGGGGUCAUCCCGACUUACCAACCCGAUGCAAACUGCGAAUACCGGAGAAUGUUAUCACGGGAGACACACGGCGGGUGCUAACGUCCGUCGUGAAGAGGGAAACAACCCAGACCGCCAGCUAAGGUCCCAAAGUCAUGGUUAAGUGGGAAACGAUGUGGGAAGGCCCAGACAGCCAGGAUGUUGGCUUAGAAGCAGCCAUCAUUUAAAGAAAGCGUAAUAGCUCACUGGUCGAGUCGGCCUGCGCGGAAGAUGUAACGGGGCUAAACCAUGCACCGAAGCUGCGGCAGCGACGCUUAUGCGUUGUUGGGUAGGGGAGCGUUCUGUAAGCCUGUGAAGGUGUACUGUGAGGUAUGCUGGAGGUAUCAGAAGUGCGAAUGCUGACAUAAGUAACGAUAAAGCGGGUGAAAAGCCCGCUCGCCGGAAGACCAAGGGUUCCUGUCCAACGUUAAUCGGGGCAGGGUGAGUCGACCCCUAAGGCGAGGCCGAAAGGCGUAGUCGAUGGGAAACAGGUUAAUAUUCCUGUACUUGGUGUUACUGCGAAGGGGGGACGGAGAAGGCUAUGUUGGCCGGGCGACGGUUGUCCCGGUUUAAGCGCGUAGGCUGGUUUUCCAGGCAAAUCCGGAAAAUCAAGGCUGUGGCGUGAUGACGAGGCACUACAGUGCUGAAGCAACAAAUGCCCUGCUUCCAGGAAAAGCCUCUAAGCAUCAGGUAACAUCAAAUCGUACCCCAAACCGACACAGGUGGUCAGGUAGAGAAUACCAAGGCGCUUGAGAGAACUCGGGUGAAGGAACUAGGCAAAAUGGUGCCGUAACUUCGGGAGAAGGCACGCUGAUAUGUAGGUGAAGUCCCUCGCGGAUGGAGCUGAAAUCAGUCGAAGAUACCAGCUGGCUGCAACUGUUUAUUAAAAACACAGCACUGUGCAAACACGAAAGUGGACGUAUACGGUGUGACGCCUGCCCGGUGCCGGAAGGUUAAUUGAUGGGGUCAGCGCAAGCGAAGCUCUUGAUCGAAGCCCCGGUAAACGGCGGCCGUAACUAUAACGGUCCUAAGGUAGCGAAAUUCCUUGUCGGGUAAGUUCCGACCUGCACGAAUGGCGUAAUGAUGGCCAGGCUGUCUCCACCCGAGACUCAGUGAAAUUGAACUCGCUGUGAAGAUGCAGUGUACCCGCGGCAAGACGGAAAGACCCCGUGAACCUUUACUAUAGCUUGACACUGAACAUUGAGCCUUGAUGUGUAGGAUAGGUGGGAGGCUUUGAAGUGUGGACGCCAGUCUGCAUGGAGCCGACCUUGAAAUACCA
This is a ribosomal RNA of 2174 nucleotides. It matches the Rfam family "Bacterial large subunit ribosomal RNA", at positions 1 to 2202 of the family's 2925-position model.